Molecule: ribosomal RNA, 2488 nt
Filed under: Staphylococcus aureus
Lineage: Bacteria; Bacillati; Bacillota; Bacilli; Caryophanales; Staphylococcaceae
Description: partial 23S ribosomal RNA
Rfam family: Bacterial large subunit ribosomal RNA
Source: RNAcentral
GUCUCUCUUGAGUGGAUCCUGAGUACGACGGAGCACGUGAAAUUCCGUCGGAAUCUGGGAGGACCAUCUCCUAAGGCUAAAUACUCUCUAGUGACCGAUAGUGAACCAGUACCGUGAGGGAAAGGUGAAAAGCACCCCGGAAGGGGAGUGAAAUAGAACCUGAAACCGUGUGCUUACAAGUAGUCAGAGCCCGUUAAUGGGUGAUGGCGUGCCUUUUGUAGAAUGAACCGGCGAGUUACGAUUUGAUGCAAGGUUAAGCAGUAAAUGUGGAGCCGUAGCGAAAGCGAGUCUGAAUAGGGCGUUUAGUAUUUGGUCGUAGACCCGAAACCAGGUGAUCUACCCUUGGUCAGGUUGAAGUUCAGGUAACACUGAAUGGAGGACCGAACCGACUUACGUUGAAAAGUGAGCGGAUGAACUGAGGGUAGCGGAGAAAUUCCAAUCGAACCUGGAGAUAGCUGGUUCUCUCCGAAAUAGCUUUAGGGCUAGCCUCAAGUGAUGAUUAUUGGAGGUAGAGCACUGUUUGGACGAGGGGCCCCUCUCGGGUUACCGAAUUCAGACAAACUCCGAAUGCCAAUUAAUUUAACUUGGGAGUCAGAACAUGGGUGAUAAGGUCCGUGUUCGAAAGGGAAACAGCCCAGACCACCAGCUAAGGUCCCAAAAUAUAUGUUAAGUGGAAAAGGAUGUGGCGUUGCCCAGACAACUAGGAUGUUGGCUUAGAAGCAGCCAUCAUUUAAAGAGUGCGUAAUAGCUCACUAGUCGAGUGACACUGCGCCGAAAAUGUACCGGGGCUAAACAUAUUACCGAAGCUGUGGAUUGUCCUUUGGACAAUGGUAGGAGAGCGUUCUAAGGGCGUUGAAGCAUGAUCGUAAGGACAUGUGGAGCGCUUAGAAGUGAGAAUGCCGGUGUGAGUAGCGAAAGACGGGUGAGAAUCCCGUCCACCGAUUGACUAAGGUUUCCAGAGGAAGGCUCGUCCGCUCUGGGUUAGUCGGGUCCUAAGCUGAGGCCGACAGGCGUAGGCGAUGGAUAACAGGUUGAUAUUCCUGUACCACCUAUAAUCGUUUUAAUCGAUGGGGGGACGCAGUAGGAUAGGCGAAGCGUGCGAUUGGAUUGCACGUCUAAGCAGUAAGGCUGAGUAUUAGGCAAAUCCGGUACUCGUUAAGGCUGAGCUGUGAUGGGGAGAAGACAUUGUGUCUUCGAGUCGUUGAUUUCACACUGCCGAGAAAAGCCUCUAGAUAGAAAAUAGGUGCCCGUACCGCAAACCGACACAGGUAGUCAAGAUGAGAAUUCUAAGGUGAGCGAGCGAACUCUCGUUAAGGAACUCGGCAAAAUGACCCCGUAACUUCGGGAGAAGGGGUGCUCUUUAGGGUUAACGCCCAGAAGAGCCGCAGUGAAUAGGCCCAAGCGACUGUUUAUCAAAAACACAGGUCUCUGCUAAACCGUAAGGUGAUGUAUAGGGGCUGACGCCUGCCCGGUGCUGGAAGGUUAAGAGGAGUGGUUAGCUUCUGCGAAGCUACGAAUCGAAGCCCCAGUAAACGGCGGCCGUAACUAUAACGGUCCUAAGGUAGCGAAAUUCCUUGUCGGGUAAGUUCCGACCCGCACGAAAGGCGUAACGAUUUGGGCACUGUCUCAACGAGAGACUCGGUGAAAUCAUAGUACCUGUGAAGAUGCAGGUUACCCGCGACAGGACGGAAAGACCCCGUGGAGCUUUACUGUAGCCUGAUAUUGAAAUUCGGCACAGCUUGUACAGGAUAGGUAGGAGCCUUUGAAACGUGAGCGCUAGCUUACGUGGAGGCGCUGGUGGGAUACUACCCUAGCUGUGUUGGCUUUCUAACCCGCACCACUUAUCGUGGUGGGAGACAGUGUCAGGCGGGCAGUUUGACUGGGGCGGUCGCCUCCUAAAAGGUAACGGAGGCGCUCAAAGGUUCCCUCAGAAUGGUUGGAAAUCAUUCAUAGAGUGUAAAGGCAUAAGGGAGCUUGACUGCGAGACCUACAAGUCGAGCAGGGUCGAAAGACGGACUUAGUGAUCCGGUGGUUCCGCAUGGAAGGGCCAUCGCUCAACGGAUAAAAGCUACCCCGGGGAUAACAGGCUUAUCUCCCCCAAGAGUUCACAUCGACGGGGAGGUUUGGCACCUCGAUGUCGGCUCAUCGCAUCCUGGGGCUGUAGUCGGUCCCAAGGGUUGGGCUGUUCGCCCAUUAAAGCGGUACGCGAGCUGGGUUCAGAACGUCGUGAGACAGUUCGGUCCCUAUCCGUCGUGGGCGUAGGAAAUUUGAGAGGAGCUGUCCUUAGUACGAGAGGACCGGGAUGGACAUACCUCUGGUGUACCAGUUGUCGUGCCAACGGCAUAGCUGGGUAGCUAUGUGUGGACGGGAUAAGUGCUGAAAGCAUCUAAGCAUGAAGCCCCCCUCAAGAUGAGAUUUCCCAACUUCGGUUAUAAGAUCCCUCAAAGAUGAUGAGGUUAAUAGGUUCGAGGUGGAAGCAUGGUGACAU